UGGGGGAUAGUUUAGCGGUAGAACCCCGGACUCUGACUCCGGUAGCUCUGGUUCGAAUCCAGGUCCCCCAGCCA
RNAcentral lists this transfer RNA (74 nucleotides) under Zavarzinia compransoris. RNAcentral describes it as "tRNA-Gln". It matches the Rfam family "tRNA". From Rfam's summary of the family: Transfer RNA (tRNA) molecules are approximately 80 nucleotides in length. Their secondary structure includes four short double-helical elements and three loops (D, anti-codon, and T loops). RNAcentral also lists the same sequence under 3 other names. The record is from RNAcentral. Lineage: Bacteria; Pseudomonadati; Pseudomonadota; Alphaproteobacteria; Rhodospirillales; Zavarziniaceae.